Molecule: non-coding RNA, 106 nt
Organism: Jatropha curcas
Lineage: Eukaryota; Viridiplantae; Streptophyta; Magnoliopsida; Malpighiales; Euphorbiaceae
Source: Rfam
AACUGUGAUGAGGACACUACCUUUCGAUGUCUCGGUAUCUCUCCCAAGCCUCAAAGAGACUUUCAUCUGAUUUUUGCUUAAAUGUGGCUAUCUCCAUUUUAAGCUU